AAAAGAUUUAGAUGCACUAUUGUAAAGUGGUAGUUCCACUGGAUAUCAUAAGGUGAAUGCACCAAUUUGUAAGUCUCUCUGGAUAAGAGCGUCUGCUAAAUGACUUAAAUGUAUAUGUAAAUGUAAGUUGGCCCACGUGUAGAUUGUUACCCCACGGUAUUAAAACCACUCCAAGAACGUCAUCGAUCAAGAUCACGAUUUUACUUUUGGUUUGUUCCUUGGAACUCUUUUUGUCUCUCUCCCUCUCCCUUUCGCUCUCGUCUUCAGGUUAUCAGAUGACCAGACUUGAACAGAUCCUCAACCCCUACAUCCACCCUACAGAGUCUGAACCAGUGAGAUGUCAAAAAGCCUGGCUAACAACAGCCUCACCUGGUCUACAGGUGCUCUCUUGGCUAUGGCUGAAGAUACAUCAAUUGGUCCUGCAUUACACAAGCUAGAAACAGAACAAACCAAGAUGGAGACUGGUCCAGAGAGAGGAAUGGCAAUAUCUCUGAGCUGAAGCCAGGGCCCAAAUCUAGCUGGAAUCUACACACAAAAUAUAUUAAGG
RNAcentral lists this long non-coding RNA (547 nucleotides) under Salmo salar (Atlantic salmon). Its description in RNAcentral is "lncRNA (ENSSSAG00000115761.1)". The stretch from base 56 to 109 matches the Rfam family "UnaL2 LINE 3' element". The record is from RNAcentral. Lineage: Eukaryota; Metazoa; Chordata; Actinopteri; Salmoniformes; Salmonidae.